AGUCGUAAAAGGUUUCCGUAGGUGAACCUGCGGAAGGA
This 38-nucleotide ribosomal RNA is filed under the name Lobaria sp. Hur 040135. RNAcentral's name for it is "partial 18S ribosomal RNA". Lineage: Eukaryota; Fungi; Ascomycota; Lecanoromycetes; Peltigerales; Lobariaceae. The record is from RNAcentral.